Molecule: ribosomal RNA, 230 nt
Filed under: uncultured bacterium
Lineage: Bacteria
Description: partial 16S ribosomal RNA
Rfam family: Bacterial small subunit ribosomal RNA
Source: RNAcentral
UGCGUAGGCGGGGCAAUUAGUCAGUGGUGAAAUCCUGCGGCUUAACCGUAGAACUGCCAUUGAUACUGUUGCUCUUGAGUAUAGUUGAGGUGGGCGGAAUGUGUAAUGUAGCGGUGAAAUGCAUAGAUAUUACACAGAACACCAAUUGCGAAGGCAGCUCACUAAGCUAUAACUGACGCUGAGGCACGAAAGCGUGGGGAGCGAACAGGAUUAGAUACCCUGGUAGUCCC